This 450-nucleotide ribosomal RNA is filed under the name uncultured bacterium. Its description in RNAcentral is "partial 16S ribosomal RNA". It matches the Rfam family "Bacterial small subunit ribosomal RNA", at positions 338 to 795 of the family's 1533-position model. The record is from RNAcentral.
CCUACGGGGGGCUGCAGUGGGGAAUUUUGGACAAUGGGCGCAAGCCUGAUCCAGCCAUUCCGCGUGAGUGAAGAAGGCCUUCGGGUUGUAAAGCUCUUUCGCAAGGGAAGAAAACUUAUCCUCUAACAUAGGAUGAGGUUGACGGUACCUUGAUAAGAAGCACCGGCUAACUACGUGCCAGCAGCCGCGGUAAUACGUAGGGUGCGAGCGUUGAUCGGAAUUACCGCACGCAAUGUGUUAAGUCAGAUGUGAAAUCCCCGAGCUCAACUUGGGAACUGCGUUUGAAACGACAAGACUAGAAUAGGUCAGAGGGGGGUAGAAUUCCACGUGUAGCAGUGAAAUGCGUAGAGAUGUGGAGGAAUAUCAAUGGCGAAGGCAGCCCCCUGGGAUCAUAUUGACGCUCAUGCACGAAAGCGUGGGGAGCAAACAGGAUUAGAUACCCUAGUAGUC